UUAGGCCCUUCAAUAGCGGCGAGUGAGCGGCAGAGCUCAGAUUUGAAAUCGUGCUUCUGUUGGCACGAGUUGUAGAUUGCAGGUUGGAGUCUGUGUGGAAGGCGGUGUCCAAGUCCCUUGGAACAGGGCGCCCAGGAGGGUGAGAGCCCCGUGGGAUGCCGGCGGAAGCAGUGAGGCCCUUCUGACGAGUCGAGUUGUUUGGGAAUGCAGCUCCAAGCGGGUGGUAAAUUCCAUCUAAGGCUAAAUACUGGCGAGAGACCGAUAGCGAACAAGUACUGUGAAGGAAAGAUGAAAAGCACUUUGAAAAGAGAGUGAAACAGCACGUGAAAUUGUUGAAAGGGAAGGGUAUUGCGCCCGACAUGGGGAUUGCGCACCGCUGCCUCUCGUGGGCGGCGCUCUGGGCUUUCCCUGGGCCAGCAUCGGUUCUUGCUGCAGGAGAAAGGGGUUUCUGGAAA
Molecule: ribosomal RNA, 455 nt
Filed under: Pichia kudriavzevii
Lineage: Eukaryota; Fungi; Ascomycota; Pichiomycetes; Pichiales; Pichiaceae
Description: eukaryotic LSU rRNA
Rfam family: Eukaryotic large subunit ribosomal RNA
Source: RNAcentral